GAUGUCGCCAUGGUGUUGAUUAUUUAAGUAUAUAUAUCAUUUGACCAUAAUAUAUUUUAUAUUUAAUUUUUGCGUAUUUAUAAUUUAAACGAGCCUGUUUACAUCGGCUCUACUGGCUGCUGUGCUGCUCUAGAGGAACAAAUAAUGGCGACUUUGGACUCCGACGUGGCCAUGGUUCCAGUCGACGACGCAUCCAGCAAUGCUGCUUCGUCCUCCUCUUCCUCCUCCAAGAAGCCCAAACGCUUUGAGAUCAAAAAGUGGAACGCCGUUGCUCUCUGGGCAUGGGGUAAUCUCUCCUACCCCUAAUCCUAACGCUUUCUGAUUACAGUUUGCCUUUAUUUUGUGUUUUUGCCUGUAUGUGUGCAUUUUCGGAUGUAUUAUGCGUUUAUUGUUGGAUUUUACUUGAUUCAGUGGCUAUAUUAUGUUGGGUUUUGUGAAUUUCAGAUAUUGUUGUGGAUAAUUGUGCAA
RNAcentral lists this unclassified non-coding RNA (468 nucleotides) under Hevea brasiliensis (rubber tree). Lineage: Eukaryota; Viridiplantae; Streptophyta; Magnoliopsida; Malpighiales; Euphorbiaceae. The record is from RNAcentral.